Molecule: long non-coding RNA, 295 nt
Organism: Helianthus annuus (common sunflower)
Lineage: Eukaryota; Viridiplantae; Streptophyta; Magnoliopsida; Asterales; Asteraceae
Exons: 2
Source: RefSeq, a predicted model, not a curated record
GUCAGACGUGGCUACAGCACACGGGGAGGGGGGGGUGGCGGCGACUUUAAUUCCUUCUGACAAGUUCACCGGUAAAACAUGGUGGUGUUCUUGAUGAAAUAAUUAAUUACAUCCAAUCAUUGCAACAUCAAGUUGAGUUCUUGUCUAUGAAGCUUGAAGCUGUAAAUGCAAGGAUGGCCUUGCCUGUAGAAGGGGUUCAUACGAAAGAUGUAAGUUUUGUUUGUCGAUUUUUCUUGGUAACCUUGAGAAACUUUUAGGGAAAACUUAUGGGGCCCGUCAAUACCCUAAUAACUAA